GAUGAAGAACGCAGCGAAAUGCGAUAAGUAAUGUGAAUUGCAGAAUUCAGUGAAUCAUCGAAUCUUUGAACGCACAUUGCGCCCGCCAGUAUUCUGGCGGGCAUGCCUGUCUGAGCGUCAUUUCAACCCUCAUGCCCCUAGGGCGUGGUGUUGGGGAUCGGCCAAAGCCCGCGAGGGACGGCCGGCCCCUAAAUCUAGUGGCGGACCCGUCGUGGCCUCCUCUGCGAAGUAGUGAUAUUCCGCAUCGGAGAGCGAUCAGCCCCUGCCGUUAAACCCCCAACUUUCCAAGGUUGACCUCAGAUCAGGUAGGAAUACCCGCUGAACUUAAGCAUAUCAAUAAGCGGAGGA
This 348-nucleotide unclassified non-coding RNA is filed under the name soil metagenome. RNAcentral describes it as "partial contains 5.8S ribosomal RNA, internal transcribed spacer 2, and large subunit ribosomal RNA". The stretch from base 1 to 120 matches the Rfam family "5.8S ribosomal RNA", at positions 35 to 154 of the family's 154-position model. The record is from RNAcentral.